AUGCCGGCGGCGAUGAGGCUCUGCGCUCGCGCGCUCCGGCGAACGCAGCAGCCGGCGGUGGCCUCGACGCAGCAGCGGUGGGUCUCGACAAGGUGGUUCGGCAAAACAAGGGCCACCACGGCGGAAGAGCUAAAAGACUUGGCGCGGGCCGCAGAGAUGAAAGAGGAGCUCUACAACACCAUCUCUGACAUCACAGCCAAGUACAAGGUUCGUGGAAAGACAGGCAGAGACAACAGGCUGCUGCUCGAGCGACUCUCCAUGCAAGUCGAGCCUAGACCCAAUGACCCCUACUGGCGGUCUUGUCUGAGAACGGAAAUAACCAAUCAUAUCUUGAUCACGGUUGGAUCAUGCUCUCUUAUUAGUAUGGCUCCUUUUGCUGUAAGUUCGCUGAUUACAGCGUUAACCCCUCGAAAAAAGAAUUUGUUGGAGCAAUGGUGGGACGCAGUAUUCGGAAACUAG
RNAcentral lists this ribosomal RNA (459 nucleotides) under Triticum aestivum (bread wheat). Its description in RNAcentral is "partial small subunit ribosomal RNA". Lineage: Eukaryota; Viridiplantae; Streptophyta; Magnoliopsida; Poales; Poaceae. The record is from RNAcentral.